GAGUUUGAUCCUGGCUCAGGACGAACGCCGGCGGCGCGCCUAACACAUGCAAGUCGAACGAGCGAGAGAGAGCUUGCUUUCUCGAGCGAGUGGCGAACGGGUGAGUAACGCGUGAGAGACCUGCCUCAAAGAGGGGGACAACAGUUGGAAACGACUGCUAAUACCGCAUAAGCCCACAGCUCGGCAUCGAGCAGAGGGAAAAGGAGCAAUCCGCUUUGAGAUGGCCUCGCGUCCGAUUAGCUGGUUGGUGAGGUAACGGCCCACCAAGGCGACGAUCGGUAGCCGGACUGAGAGGUUGAACGGCCACAUUGGGACUGAGACACGGCCCAGACUCCUACGGGAGGCAGCAGUGGGGAAUAUUGCACAAUGGGGGAAACCCUGAUGCAGCGACGCCGCGUGGAGGAAGAAGGUCUUCGGAUUGUAAACUCCUGUUGUUGAGGAAGAUAAUGACGGUACUCAACAAGGAAGUGACGGCUAACUACGUGCCAGCAGCCGCGGUAAAACGUAGGUCACAAGCGUUGUCCGGAAUUACUGGGUGUAAAGGGAGCGCAGGCGGGAAGACAAGUUGGAAGUGAAAUCUAUGGGCUCAACCCAUAAACUGCUUUCAAAACUGUUUUUCUUGAGUAGUGCAGAGGUAGGCGGAAUUCCCGGUGUAGCGGUGGAAUGCGUAGAUAUCGGGAGGAACACCAGUGGCGAAGGCGGCCUACUGGGCACCAACUGACGCUGAGGCUCGAAAGUGUGGGUAGCAAACAGGAUUAGAUACCCUGGUAGUCCACACCGUAAACGAUGAUUACUAGGUGUUGGAGGAUUGACCCCUUCAGUGCCGCAGUUAACACAAUAAGUAAUCCACCUGGGGAGUACGACCGCAAGGUUGAAACUCAAAGGAAUUGACGGGGGCCCGCACAAGCAGUGGAGUAUGUGGUUUAAUUCGACGCAACGCGAAGAACCUUACCAAGUCUUGACAUCCUGCGACGGACAUAGAAAUAUGUCUUUCCUUCGGGACGCAGAGACAGGUGGUGCAUGGUUGUCGUCAGCUCGUGUCGUGAGAUGUUGGGUUAAGUCCCGCAACGAGCGCAACCCUUACUGUCAGUUACUACGCAAGAGGACUCUGGCAGGACUGCCGUUGACAAAACGGAGGAAGGUGGGGAUGACGUCAAAUCAUCAUGCCCUUUAUGACUUGGGCUACACACGUACUACAAUGGCGUUAAACAAAGAGAAGCAAGACCGCGAGGUGGAGCAAAACUCAGAAACAACGUCCCAGUUCGGACUGCAGGCUGCAACUCGCCUGCACGAAGUCGGAAUUGCUAGUAAUCGUGGAUCAGCAUGCCACGGUGAAUACGUUCCCGGGCCUUGUACACACCGCCCGUC
This 1368-nucleotide ribosomal RNA is filed under the name uncultured bacterium. Its description in RNAcentral is "bacterial SSU rRNA". It matches the Rfam family "Bacterial small subunit ribosomal RNA". The record is from RNAcentral.